GUGCCAGCCGCCGCGGUAAUACGUAGGGUGCGAGCGUUGUCCGGAAUUACUGGGCGUAAAGAGCUCGUAGGUGGUUUGUCGCGUUGUUCGUGAAAUCUCACGGCUUAACUGUGAGCGUGCGGGCGAUACGGGCAGACUAGAGUACUGCAGGGGAGACUGGAAUUCCUGGUGUAGCGGUGGAAUGCGCAGAUAUCAGGAGGAACACUGGUGGCGAAGGCGGGUCUCUGGGCAGUAACUGACGCUGAGGAGCGAAAGCGUGGGGAGCGAACAGGAUUAGAUACCCUGGUAGUCCACGCCGUAAACGGUGGGUACUAGGUGUGGGUUUCCUUCCUUGGGAUCCGUGCCGUAGCUAACGCAUUAAGUACCCCGCCUGGGGAGUACGGCCGCAAGGCUAAAACUCAAAGGAAUUGACGG
Molecule: ribosomal RNA, 414 nt
Filed under: uncultured organism
Description: SSU rRNA
Rfam family: Bacterial small subunit ribosomal RNA
Source: RNAcentral